GCCUAGCUAGCUCAAUCGGUAGAGCGUGAGACUCUUAAUCUCAAGGCUGUGGGUUCGACCCCCACGUUGGGCU
This 73-nucleotide transfer RNA is filed under the name Parasitella parasitica. RNAcentral's name for it is "tRNA-Lys". It matches the Rfam family "tRNA". From Rfam's summary of the family: Transfer RNA (tRNA) molecules are approximately 80 nucleotides in length. Their secondary structure includes four short double-helical elements and three loops (D, anti-codon, and T loops). Lineage: Eukaryota; Fungi; Mucoromycota; Mucoromycetes; Mucorales; Mucoraceae. The record is from RNAcentral.